Molecule: ribosomal RNA, 462 nt
Filed under: uncultured bacterium
Lineage: Bacteria
Description: SSU rRNA
Rfam family: Bacterial small subunit ribosomal RNA
Source: RNAcentral
AGAAUCAACGCUGGCGGCGUGCCUAACACAUGCAAGUCGAACGAGAAAGUGGUAGCAAUACCAUGAGUAAAGUGGCGCACGGGUGAGUAACACGUGACUAACCUACCCUUGAGUGGGGGAUAACUGAGGGAAACCUUAGCUAAUACCGCAUAAUACCCACGGGUCAAAGGAGCAAUUCGCUCGAGGAGGGGGUCGCGGCCGAUUAGUUAGUUGGCAGGGUAAUGGCCUACCAAGACGAUGAUCGGUAUCCGGCCUGAGAGGGCGCACGGGACACACUGGAACUGAAACACGGUCCAGACUCCUACGGGAGGCAGCAGUGGGAAUUUUGCGCAAUGGGGGAAACCCUGACGCAGCAACGCCGCGUGGAGGAUGAAGUCCUUCGGGACGUAAACUCCUUUCGAUCGGGACGAUUAUGACGGUACCGGAAGAAGAAGCCCCGGCUAACUUCGCGCCAGCAGCCGC